Molecule: ribosomal RNA, 425 nt
Filed under: uncultured prokaryote
Description: bacterial SSU rRNA
Rfam family: Bacterial small subunit ribosomal RNA
Source: RNAcentral
UCGAGAAUCUUCCGCAAUGGACGCAAGUCUGACGGAGCGACGCCGCGUGCGGGAUGAAGGCCUUCGGGUUGUAAACCGCUGUCAGAGGGGAGCAAAUUUUGAGCGAUCCUCAGAGGAAGCGCAGGCUAAGUUCGUGCCAGCAGCCGCGGUAAUACGAACUGCGCAAACGUUAUUCGGAAUCACUGGGCUUAAAGGGUGCGUAGGCGGCGAUAUAGGUCAGGUGUGAAAUCCCACGGCUCAACCGUGGAACUGCGCUUGAAACCAUUUCGCUUGAGGGAGUCAGAGGUGAGCGGAACUGAUGGUGGAGCGGUGAAAUGCGUUGAUAUCAUCAGGAACACCGGUGGCGAAAGCGGCUCACUGGGACUUUUCUGACGCUGAGGCACGAAAGCUAGGGGAGCGAACGGGAUUAGAUACCCCUGUAGUCC